This 511-nucleotide ribosomal RNA is filed under the name uncultured bacterium. RNAcentral's name for it is "partial 16S ribosomal RNA". It matches the Rfam family "Bacterial small subunit ribosomal RNA", at positions 28 to 507 of the family's 1533-position model. The record is from RNAcentral.
GACCAACGCUGGCGGCAUGCCUAACACAUGCAAGUCGAACGGACAGAACAGGGAAGCUUUUCGGAGUGGAACUGGAAAGUUAGUGGCGGAUGGGUGAGUAACGCGUGGACAACCUACCUUGUAAAGGGGAAUAACCUCGAGAAAUCGAAGCUAAUACCCCAUAAUAACCUUGCUUCGCAUGAAGUAAGGAGGAAAGGCGGCCUUAGCGCUGUCGAUACAAGAUGGGUCCGCGUCUGAUUAGCUAGUUGGUGAGGUAAAGGCUCACCAAGGCGACGAUCAGUAGCCGGCCUGAGAGGGUGAACGGCCACAUUGGGACUGAGACACGGCCCAAACUCCUACGGGAGGCAGCAGUGGGGAACCUUCCGCAAUGGGCGAAAGCCUGACGGAGCAAUGCCGCGUGAGUGAAGAAGGCCUUCGGGUUGUAAAACUCUGUCCUUAUCGAAGAGAGAGUGUUGUAGUAACUGACAAUACUAGGACGGUAGAUGAGGAGGAAGCCCCGGCUAACUAUGUG